RNAcentral lists this long non-coding RNA (697 nucleotides) under Scleropages formosus (Asian bonytongue). RNAcentral describes it as "lncRNA (ENSSFOG00015027752.1)". The record is from RNAcentral. Lineage: Eukaryota; Metazoa; Chordata; Actinopteri; Osteoglossiformes; Osteoglossidae.
GGAAAAGGAAAAGAUGGCUGCGCGAUGGGCGUGGUUACACGCAAUUUAGGUGUUCACUGUUGCGCUCAAAUUACUAUGUACUUUUUCCCGUUUCUCACGAAAAAAUGUAGAUAAAUAAAACGAAACGAAGUGUUAUUGGAGUUAUCAGCGUAAGACAGCAAAGCAGUUUAGUCAUGGACAGAUAAACAGUUCUUAGUUCUCCUCCUCAAAGGAUGCCCAUUACCAACGCAAGAAGGGUGAACAUUUCUGCCAGUGUCCAUGUUGGGAAGAACCCAUGUGUUCCUGCCUUACCGAGAUGCAGGCUUCAUUCAGCAGUGUAACACGCUUGCAGCCAACAUGACCGACACCUUCACACCAAGUCCAUUGCACUCCUGGUCCAGCACCGCCAGGACAGUUUGGAUGGCACCCUCUCGGCCCCCUGCGUGACCAGCAGCCAGGUGUGAGAUCAUCGCCAUGAUGACAUUGUACUCAUGAAGAACCCAGAGGGCAAAGGGCUGGGUGACCCUGCCUAAAGUUCUGGUACUUCUCAUCCUGCCCCGGGAGCUGACUGCCCUGCCAUUCUCUACAUCUGUUGAGUUCUACCUUGAGUAUGUAUACAGAGGCCAGUUAACCACCCUUCUUUCACCCCAUAGCGUGCACACUGCUACACGAUUGGUUGCUGUCGUGUAAACUGCUUUGUGAUUGGUUAACAGACCAG